AGAGUUUGAUCAUGGCUCAGGAUGAACGCUAGCGGCAGGCUUAAUACAUGCAAGUCGUGGGGCAGCAGGUCUGUAGCAAUACAGAUGCUGGCGACCGGCAAACGGGUGCGGAACACGUACGCAACCUUCCUUCAAGUGGGGAAUAGCCCGGGGAAACCCGGAUUAAUACCCCGUAAUACUAUGAGAUGGUAUCAUCUUAUACUUAUAGCUCCGGCGCUUGAAGAUGGGCGUGCGCCUGAUUAGGUAGUUGGCGGGGUAACGGCCCACCAAGCCUACGAUCAGUAACUGGUGUGAGAGCACGACCAGUCACACGGGCACUGAGACACGGGCCCGACUCCUACGGGAGGCAGCAGUAAGGAAUAUUGGUCAAUGGACGCAAGUCUGAACCAGCCAUGCCGCGUGGAGGAUGAAGGUCCUCUGGAUUGUAAACUUCUUUUAUCUGGGAAGAAACCCAUGAUUUCUAUUGUGGUUGACGGUACCAGAUGAAUAAGCACCGGCUAACUCCGUGCCAGCAGCCGCGGUAAUAC
This 527-nucleotide ribosomal RNA is filed under the name uncultured bacterium. RNAcentral's name for it is "bacterial SSU rRNA". It matches the Rfam family "Bacterial small subunit ribosomal RNA", at positions 8 to 526 of the family's 1533-position model. The record is from RNAcentral.